AUACCUUACAAGAGACCUUUUGCAUGAAGCAUAUUCCAGUUACAUUAUAUUCACUUAUUAGCAACUUUUUAUAAAAUCGUAUAGAUUGCAACGUCACAGCAGUUAAUGGAGAUUCUUUUUCAAAACAGGGACUACGGUUCUUUGCUUUGAAAACAGGAGGAGGAGCUGGGUGAAAUCCCUGCUGCUAUUGUGAAAUGCUUGGGGCCACGGUGUACAGUGUAGUGACAAACACCCUGUCCCAGGCAGCUGCAGAUUUGUUACAAUAUAGUAGCAGAGGCAAGAAGGAAAAGCGAGGUUUUCGGAUCAGUUCUUCUCCCACUCAUCAGAUGCCUCUGGCUCUCCCGCCAUCCAGCCCAAUUUUCCAUUAUUCUGGCUGCCCAAUCAGCAGGGGCAACACUUACCUGUCGUGUUGUUGCAUGGGGAGGUUGGGGGAGGGAAAGGAGUUUGUGGUGGAAGCAGCAGAGCAACUUGUUUCCUAAUUUGCUCAGAAUGCAGGUUCCCACUAAAAUGGCUACCCACUAAGUGGUCACCAUAGAAACCUGCUCAGGUUCUCAAAGAAGCACUGCUCCCUGCAGGGAGAGGGACUCACUUCUACCAGGAGUUUUAGCUGACCUGUUCUUACACACUGGCUGCUCCCUUACCUGAGGGAUAUCUAGGCCUGCUGCCUCUCCCAGGAAUAUCCAAGCUCAUCGGCAGGUCAUUCCACAUCACACACAUUGUUUUCUCUCCAAGCUGACAUGCCCGGUUUAAUUUUCAAGCCAGGGCUCUGGCCACUCUGAAGCACUAUAAAUAAUCCUGCCCUAUAUCUUUAUAUUAAAACCUUUCACACUGGUAAUGGAAACAUUAUCCUAGCUGCUUCCCAAGGCCCUUUCAUUGAAGGGAAUCUCAUAAUCAUUUAUUAAGGCUCAUAGCACCCAUGCGAGGUAUUAUCUCCAUUUUACUGAAGGGGAAACCGAGGCACAAAGCGGCCAAAUCUUAUCCAAGACCACACAGCAAGUCAGAAGCAAAGCAGGCAAUGGAAUCCAGAGGUCCUGAAUCACAGUCAUAUGUGUGGAUUUUCUGUAGGAUCCAGUAUUAUAAAAUGCUGUAGUGUAAUCGUUGGACCACAUGUCCUGAGAUACGGAGCUAUUGCUUAGCUUUGGUAUGCCUCUCUGUUCCUUUUCCUCCAAGAUCUGCCUAUUUAAUCCACAUUUAGGCCUCUCUUCACAGUUCAGAUCUUCUAAACCUUUAACCUCCUUGCUUUGGAUUUUCUAAGCUGUUGAUGCCUGUUUUGUAAUGUGGGGUACCAAAAUGUAGACUGAGUGGAGUGACAGUCUUAUGGGUAAGACUGGGCUGGGACUCAGGAGAUCGGGAUCAGUUCCUGGUUCUGCCACAGCCUCCCCUUUCUUCCUUUUGCCUGUCUUGUCUAUUUAGAGUUCUAGUGUCUAUCUGUAUGAGUACGUGCAGCACCCAACACACCAAAGCCGCUAGGCUCUAUUUCAGUACAAAUAAUAAAUCCUAUCUAACCAAGGUUGUGAAAAGAGCCAUCCUUACCCCUCUAUUCCUACAGGUACCAACCCUGAUUAUAUGGCGCUGAAGGGCAUUUUUAUCUUUUUUUUCCAUCAGUGUCACACUGCAGACUAGCCCCACCCCUGCAUUCGUUUUCCACAUUGCUCCUCUUGAGACAGCACUCUCCUGUUAUAUGUGUCUAUGCUUGUGCAUCACAUAGUAUUAUACAUUUAGCUGCCUCAGACCUCAUCACAUUUCGACUUGCCUAUCUCUCCUUGUCACACUGUAAUUUCCAUUCAGCCUCCUCUGUUUUUUCAGUCCCUUCCAGUUUUGUCUGAUCCGCAAAUGUGAUCAAUAGUGUAAUUUAUUCCCUCCCCACCCCCCCGGGCCAUUCUUUAAAUAAUAUCAACCCAAGACUGAGCUGAUACGUCUUUGCUUCAUACCUCAUGCUAUGUUGAUGGGGUUUGGCUCAGGGUUAAUUUAUUUAUGGUCUGUCAGGUCUAUAGCCAUGUGGCAAUUGUCUCAAAAGGAAUAUUUCAAUGAUUUAGCCAGAUUUCAGAAUCAUACACCCCUGCAUCAAAUAGAAUGGCGCUGGAUUUUUAAAAUACAAACCUCCCGCAAUAAAACUUUUUAUUUAACUGUGGCUAAAGUACUGGACAGAGAGUCAGGAGAUUUGAGUUCAUUUGCCAGCUCUGCCACAGAUUUGGCCAAGUCAAAAGAUUUCUGUGCCCGUUUGUGCACCUAGAAAAAGGGGACAGAUUGUCAGAUGUGCUCAGCACUUGCCAGCUUCCUCUGUUCUCUAUGGAGCUGAGGAGGGAUCAGCACCUUAGGCAUCUAAACCCAGAUUUUCCCAAAUGGGAGCUGAGCUCACCUGAAAAUCUGGCCCCACUCGUAGAUGCAGCUGGGUCCUUUUGAAAAAUCUGGGCGUUAGUCUUUCCGUGCCUCUGUUUCCCAUUUGUACAGACAGGGCUACGGAUAUUUCCUUUGUCUUGUCCCUUUAACUUGUCAGGUUUCUCUUACCAUGUGCAUGCACAAGGUCUAGCCCAACUCUUAUCUGUCGGGGGACCUGAAAGUGCUACUGUAAUAGAAAUAAUAAUAAAAAUUAUUGCACCAAAACGGUUAUGUAGCCAUGAAAAUGCUGAACUUCAACAGCAUUUCUAUUACAUUGAUUUCAAUCGGGAAAACACAUCUAGUUUCAGCAACUAUUUCAAGUUUUGUUCGGUGGCAAAUAUCAUUUUGCUUUGAGUUAAUUCAGAACAUUUCUGGAAUUUGUAUAUGAACAGAGAUAAACUGUAUUCUCCACACACCCUUGGAAAGUGCUUCUCUUUCCAUUGUACUAGUCCUCAGCUGAGAUGGGGUCCUGUUGCGCUAGGGGCUGUGCACGCACAUUGUAGCACAGUGUCAUCUUGUGGGCCCUGCAGGUAUCUAGCAGGAAGUAGGCUAGAGAUAGAGUGGCAACAGUUUAGAGUUUUUCUGAGGAAGAUACUGAAUCUGUCAUCAUCCUUUACGUUGCAGAUGCAAUUGUUAAAGAAAAGAAAUUGCACUGACAGCUGAGACUCAUUGCUUCUCAGGAACUCUGCCAGUAGAAUAAAUGACAGUCCAUACCCCAAUAGCUUGCAGUCCAAGUUAACGCCUCUGAACUGCUUUCCGGUUAUCUACAAGGAUGAGAGGAAAGGAGAGAUCUCCCUGUUCAUCUGCUUGAAAACAGGCUAAGGAGAAUAUUCCAGGUGUGGCACCUUCAGGUGAUUAGCUUGUCUUUGGUACCCUCCCUAACAGGAAGUUUCUCCUAGCAAGGUGUCCAUAUGCUCUAAUGAGCUCCAUGCUGGGGCAGGGAGGAUAUUGAGCUUAUUGCCAAGAUAAGGUCUUGGUCUGUGGGAAGACUAGAGCAAAGAAGCAGAGUGGAGUGUAUGUGCUUGAUAAUCAACUGACACCUUAUUUCUGUGUGUGUGAAAGGAGCAUUGAGGAAGCAGGAAAGAGAAGAAGAGGGGAUGUAGGAAAGGAUGAGUAGGAACGGGAAGUGGAUUUUUCCAGUGUCUCCUUAAACAUCUCUUGUAUAAGGUGGUAAAUCUGACUGCCUAAUUCCCAUGGGGACACAAUUAACUGCCUUUGGAAAUCCAAACGCUCUGUGUCUAGUUCAGAAGGAUUCUCUCCACUAUGAAAGACCACGUCAAACUCAACCCAUGACCAGUCUGCUGAAUGCAAGUUUUUCCAGCGAGGAAACAUCUUUUUAGACUUCAUGGUUGUGAACAUGACUUUUAAAUAAGCCCAUGCUUACAGUAUUAUAACUGAGUAAGGGGACUUGGUUUCACUAUUGCUGCAAUUGGUAGCAUAGAGAGUGACCUACUCUGGUUUAAAAAUCUGGAUGACCAGAAACAUUACCCUGGUAACAGGGAUGCUGUUUAGAAACUUGUACUGUAACAGCAUCCCCGCUACUGUGAUAAAAGCCUUAAACUGUCUGGGAUUUUAAGCCAGUUACUUGAAUAUAGUUUGGUCACAUCUAUACUAACUAGGAACCCGGCUAGUGUAGUCAUAGCCCAAGUUCUAGAGCCAGAGGCCCUUCUUCUGAUAUUACAAUGGUGUAACUCCACAAAGUUGAAUUGCUCCAGAUUUACACUACUGAGAUCAGAACCAGGUCCACAAUAUGUCAAAACAGUCCUAUCAAGUCUCAAACAUACAUUUCUGCCACAUACAAAUAGUUCAUGAUGGCUUUGACAUUCCUCUAAGUAGAGUUACUUAAAUUGAAGACUGAAAAAACAAAUACACUCUCUUGGAACUGAAUGGUAAUUAGUAAGCUACCACUGAAAAGAGCCAUGAUAAAUAGCUAUUAAAAUGAGCAUUAUAAAAAAAUUCUUAGAA
Gopherus evgoodei (Goodes thornscrub tortoise) is the source of this 4344-nucleotide long non-coding RNA. RefSeq lists it as uncharacterized. The transcript has 2 exons. Lineage: Eukaryota; Metazoa; Chordata; Testudines; Testudinidae. The record is from RefSeq and is a predicted model, not a curated record.